RNAcentral lists this long non-coding RNA (411 nucleotides) under Sus scrofa (pig). Its description in RNAcentral is "lncRNA (ENSSSCG00070018404.1)". Lineage: Eukaryota; Metazoa; Chordata; Mammalia; Artiodactyla; Suidae. The record is from RNAcentral.
GGCGGCGCCCUGUGCCCAGGGCGCGUCCGGCCGCUCCUCGCCGCGGGCCGCCCGGGGACGUGUGGGCGCCGAGGGCGCUUGGGCUCUGAGCACUGCGGGGCUGCGGGCUCGGCGCCCCGGGGAGGCGGGCGCGUGGCCGCCAGAGCGAGUGCCCCAGCCAGCUGCGAUCGCGGGGUUUCUGAGCCAGGAGAUGAGAGUAACUAGAGCUCAGGGAUGACAAGGUUCUGCAGCUGCGGGGCCCAGAGGCGAGAGAUAAAUGAUGAUGUCCUUUGAGCACCCGCUGGAAACUGGGCAGGAGGGACAGUAACCCCAGGAGAGCGUAGGCCUUGCAGGGACGCGGGGAUGACGCCUCUGGAGGCCCCAGCCUCCCUCCCGCCUGGGUGGUAGGAGCCUUCCCCGGGCUCCAGCCUG